This 117-nucleotide small RNA is filed under the name Marmota monax (woodchuck). Lineage: Eukaryota; Metazoa; Chordata; Mammalia; Rodentia; Sciuridae. The record is from RNAcentral.
GCCAAGUGCAGUGGCAUGUGCCUGUAGUCCCCACUACUCAGAAGACUGAGAUAGGAGGAUGGCUUGAGCUCUGGAGCUCAAGACUGACCUGGGCAACAUAGCAAUAUCCUAUUUCAA